This 898-nucleotide long non-coding RNA is filed under the name Carica papaya (papaya). RNAcentral's name for it is "long non-coding RNA (CPAP_LNC014803)". The record is from RNAcentral. Lineage: Eukaryota; Viridiplantae; Streptophyta; Magnoliopsida; Brassicales; Caricaceae.
UUUAAUAUUUUAAAUGUAUAAUUUUUUUAAAAAAUUAAUUUAUUUUAAUUUUUAUUGAAUUUAUAGAAAAAAAUAAAUUAGAGAUGAAAUUAAAAAUAAUUUUUUAAAAAAAGAGGUGAAAAUUUAUAUUCGUGAGGUAUUUUUGAAAGAAAAAUCGAAAACUGGAGAUAAGAAAUCAAAUAAGAAAAAUUUUGCUACGUAAAACCGCUCAAUCAGCAAUCCUGACAAACCGGAGCACACCCCGUGGAAAGAUACGUUGACGUCGAUGCCACACGGGAUGCCACGUGGGCGAUCAGCGUGCCCCGCAAUCGAACGACCUAGGAUCGAUUCCACUCACAUGAACGACCUGAAUUUAUUCUCUCUUUAAACGUGAUCAGAAGGUUGAGAUCAAAUUGCGAUGAACGGUUCAGAUUCAUUUCUUCUUCAUUUCUUCCUUAAACGUGAUCGAACUGUCGUGAUCGAACUGUCGAGAUCAAACGCAAUGAACGGUCCAAAUUCGUUUUUUUCUUAGACGUGAUCGAAUGGUUCAGAUCAAAUACGAUGAAUAGUACAGAUUAACACGAGAUGAAUAUAAAUAUUUUGCAUCAAAUUAAACUCGAACCCUACCUGUCAGUCUUUUACCGAAGAAGAAGAACUAGUCGCCGGAGAAGGGAGUCGACUGCCAACUGCCGCUACACUAGAGUUACUUCCGACUAUUAAAAAAGAUAAAAAUUCUCAUAUAUGCUCAGAAUUUGAUACCGAACACCCCUAUGAUCAAAUCGGAGUAAAAUGGACGGCGGGUUAGUCAGAAACUACGAUCGAAACUCGACAGAGUCACCACAUCAAAAGUCCCAGAAGUCUUUCGAUGAGUCUUUCCUAAUUUCUGUUUUACGUGAUUUUUCGAUAAUCGUAUUCACCG